This 1490-nucleotide long non-coding RNA is filed under the name Equus caballus (horse). RNAcentral's name for it is "lncRNA (ENSECAG00000052617.1)". Lineage: Eukaryota; Metazoa; Chordata; Mammalia; Perissodactyla; Equidae. The record is from RNAcentral.
GACAUUUAAUUGAAACUUUGAUAAAAUAGUCAUAGAUUUGCAUGCAGUUGUAAGAAAUAAUAGAGAGAUCAUGCAUACACCUUCCUCAGUUUCCCCCAAUGGUACCAUUUGUCAAACAAUAGAACAACCAGAAUAUCAACAUUGAUGCAAUCUGUGGAUCUUAUUCAGAUUCUCCCAGUUUUACUUGCACUCUUGAGUGUGUGUGUGUGUGUGUGUAUUUAACUCGAAAUAACUUUAUCACAGUCAACAUACUAAAUGGUUCCGUCACUACAAGGACACCUCUCUUGAUUUUCUUUUGUGUUUUGACUAUGGAAGAUAAUUUACAUGAUUCAAAAGUAAGAACUGUAUAUUAAGGUAUAAUCAGAAAAGUCUGGCUUCCAUCCAUAUCUUCUUAACUCCGCUUCACCCCUUUCAUUAUUGAUAAUUUUUUAAAACUUAGUUUUUACUUUAUUCUUCCACUGUUUCUUUUUCAAAAUGUAAGCAAAUACAUAUAUCUGCUCAUAUUCCUCUCCCUUCUUUCAAAUAAGGAAGCAUAGAAAUAUAGGUUUCCUGGCACUUGCCUUUUUUACUUAAUAGUUGUUUCUGUCAAGAUAGGCUAGGGUCUGCCUAUGCUAAAACCACUGAAAUCUCAGUGGUUUGAGACAAAACAAGUCCAUUUCUCAUCUCACAGUCCAUGCCCCUCUCUGGGCAGUGGGGUCUCUGCUGGGCCAUUGUCCUUCUCCCUCUGGCCUGGGCUGAGGGAGCAGCUAUGCCUGGUGAUUGCCAGUCACAGUGGCAGAGGGAAGAACAUGGCAGAGCCGGCCCUGGCUUUCAAGGGACUCACCACGCUGCUGCUCACAUUUCAUUAGCUGUAGAAAGUAUCAUGGCUGUAGCGAACUUCACGUGGGCAAGGAAGUUCAAUUUUAUUGCGUGGUUGGGAGAAGAGAGAGCCAACACAUCUGUAAACAGCCAUAACAACUAUCACAGCCCACUUUUCUUGGCACUAAAUGUUUGACUCAAAUUCUUUCCUGCGUACAAAAUGCACUCAUGUAACCUGAGGAUGCUAACCCAUUCCUGGUGUUAGUCUCCCAGUCCAGACUCUGGAUCAUGGGUGCUAGCCCUCACACCAGAGGGGCGGGUGUGUGUCUCUACAUUAGAUCUAGAUGUGGCAUUUCUUGUUUCAUUUAUAUUUCACUUUAUUUUAAAUUUUUUGUUGAAGUGUAACAAAACAUUUCUCGCACCCCAGAAGAUUUCUUUGUGCCCCUUCCCGGGAAUAACCCCACCAGAGAGAUAGCUGCUGUUCUAUGCUAUAGAUUAGCUUGCCUGUUCGGAACUUCAUAGAAGUAAAAUCAUAAAGUAUACAACCUUUUAUGUUUGGCUUCUUUCACUACCUCAUACCUGUGAGAUUCACCCACGUUAUUAUGUAGUAGGGGUUCAUUCCUGUACACUGUUGAGUACUAUUCUACUGUAUAAAUACCACAAUUUGUUUAUGCAUUCUACUAUUGAUGGGC